CCUUUUUGAGUUUUCAAGCUCUGAAGCCCUCUUUCUUCGAGGGUCCGCUAAACAGCGUCACCGUAGGUCGAGAACUCCAGGCCGCGGUCAUUUCUAGCGAUGUCGACUUUGAUGAGGAGGCAUAGGAAUUUGGGGAGAUGAUGGAACAUUGGAUGAGCUUAAAAAGAAUCUUCACGAUAAUAGCUCUAAGAAGCCAUAUGUAUCACCAAAUGAAAAUUCCAGAGCUUCAAAGCCCAACUAUCGUCCGGUUUCAGAGUGGGCAGUGAAUUAUUGGAAAACAUUAUGUGAAGAAAGAGAGAAGUGAUCUCCAGAAGGAAGGUCUGCCUGCUUUGUUCAGUGCUUCUGAGAGGCCCGAGGAGAGACCGGAGAAGCUACCAAGAAGAAACAAAGGAAACGGAUUGAUAUUGGACAACUAGUGGUUGAACCUCCAAAUGAUUUCAUUUCAGAUUGAAAUAUUGACAGCAUCCAUCCUUGUCUAUUAUAUAUGGGGGAAACUUCAUUUCCCUGGUUCUUUUUUGGAGGAAAAUGUUGGGAUCGGUUUGAAUAGUAAAUGGUAAACUGCUCCCAGGAAUUUAUAUCCUUGCUUGUAUUUUCCUUCAUAAAUAAAGUGUAGGUGCUAGAGUUGCAGACGCAGAUGACGAAGAUAACUACCAGGUUCUUCGUAAAGCUCUGUGAAGGGAGUAUCGGACUACCAUGAAGGAAUAUUUUCAGGCUAGGCAUUUGCUACGGAGGAUCAUGAUCGAGCAAACAAAACUUCUAGAACAAGUAAAGGGAGGCUUACUGCAGGCUCAUUUGCUUGUAUACGAAAUAAAUGCUUCAAAAUUUGAACAAGGGGCAGUUUCACUUCUUGCAGAUACCAAGCCGGAAUUGAUCAUGAGGUGAAAUGGUGCUUGACUUGCAUGAACGCGGUGCCGAGCCGAGGAGGCAAUACGUCUUUUGAAGUGUCAAAUUUCUUCAUUUUCUGGAAUUUUCUUAUGUUCCUAGUUAUUCUUUGAACUUUGUUUUCUUCUUAAUUGGAAUUAUUUUUUGUUGUCUUCUCGUCA
Non-coding RNA from Prunus mume (Japanese apricot), 1043 nucleotides. Lineage: Eukaryota; Viridiplantae; Streptophyta; Magnoliopsida; Rosales; Rosaceae. The record is from RefSeq and is a predicted model, not a curated record.